RNAcentral lists this long non-coding RNA (526 nucleotides) under Nicotiana benthamiana. RNAcentral describes it as "long non-coding RNA (NBEN_LNC007262)". The record is from RNAcentral. Lineage: Eukaryota; Viridiplantae; Streptophyta; Magnoliopsida; Solanales; Solanaceae.
AUAAGGAGACCAAGGACCUCAAAUCCCUCCGAUGUGGGACAACUCAACACCCCCCUCACGCCCAGAUCUUUGGAGCGUGGACAACAUAAAUGGGGGCACAAUAUCGGUAACAAUAAUUGGGAUGGGCCUGGCUCUGAUAACAUGAUAAACGACUUGGUGCAUAUAAAUCAUAUGUACCGGGCUUGUUACAUAUGUAGUUUAACAUCGAACCCAGGUUUCUAGACCCGAAAGCAUCGAUUCCCAAAGACAUCAUUGAAAAUUUGCUGAAACAAAUGAAGGAAAACUGUUUUUUUUUUGCCGGGAAAUCACUGUAGAUGCCGGAAAAACUUCAAAGUUGUCGGAAUUGAAAAGUAAAGAACAUGAGUAGGCUCGGAAUUUGAGGGCGAUGAUACUGUCCUGAAGAAACUUUUUGAAUUUCUGGCCGGAAAGUCUCUGUAGCUGCCGGAAAAGUCGCCGGAUAAACUGAAAGUUGUCGGAAUCGAACGGAACAAGGAUGGGUAGGGUCGGAAAUUAAGGCCGACCNNNN